Molecule: long non-coding RNA, 214 nt
Organism: Ficedula albicollis (Collared flycatcher)
Lineage: Eukaryota; Metazoa; Chordata; Aves; Passeriformes; Muscicapidae
Exons: 2
Source: RefSeq, a predicted model, not a curated record
CACUCCUCCCACCUUUGCCAAAAGCUGUGGUGUUUGAGCAGCCAAAGCCAAGAGGCUUCAGCACCAGGGAUCUGCACUGGAGGGCUCCUGGUCCUGCCCAUGCUGUGGGUGAGAAGAACACAAACUCACAGCCAGUCAGGCCUGACAGUCCCCUGCAGCAAGAGCUCAGCACACAUCUACAGAGGCAAGUCCAGCACCUGAAAGAAAAAAAAAA